This 307-nucleotide long non-coding RNA is filed under the name Elaeis guineensis (African oil palm). RNAcentral's name for it is "long non-coding RNA (EGUI_LNC022906)". The record is from RNAcentral. Lineage: Eukaryota; Viridiplantae; Streptophyta; Magnoliopsida; Arecales; Arecaceae.
CAUGCAUAGAAUUAAAAACUUGUUGUGAUAUUUUUGAGCCAUGGCUUGGAUGAAGACACAAUAUUGUGAAUUUUGUGGUGAGAUAGGAGGGCAACAAUCGCACUAGCGGAAGCUAUGGUGGCAUUGAAUGCUUUAUGGGUAGCUAAUGAUCAGAAUGUGCAGGUGUCAAUUAACCAAUUGAGUAGCCAUUUUAGUGUGUUUUUUUGGUGUGGUGGGGUGAGGUGGGAUGGUGAUCUUUGUAAAUAGAGUGGUAGAAGAUGGAGUAAGGAUGAAAUUUGGAGAAAGUAUUUCUUACACUAUAUGUACC